This 253-nucleotide ribosomal RNA is filed under the name uncultured bacterium. RNAcentral's name for it is "partial 16S ribosomal RNA". It matches the Rfam family "Bacterial small subunit ribosomal RNA", at positions 524 to 776 of the family's 1533-position model. The record is from RNAcentral.
UACGGGGGGGGCAAGCGUUGUUCGGAAUUACUGGGCGUAAAGGGCUUGUAGGUGGCCAACUAAGUCAGACGUGAAAUCCCUCAGCUUAACUGGGGAACUGCUUCUGAUACUGGAUGGCUUGAGUUUGGGAGAGGGAUGCGGAAUUCCAGGUGUAGCGGUGAAAUGCGCAGAUAUCAGGAGGAACACCGAUGGCGAAGGCAGGUCUCUGGGCCACUACUGACGCUGAGAAGCGAAAGCAUGGGGAGCGAACAGG